UCGAUGGUGGCGCGGUUCAGCGCGUUGAGCUGGUCGGGGCGGUUGAUGGUGAUGGUGCGGAUGCCCUCGGCAUCGGAC
This 78-nucleotide transfer RNA is filed under the name Flavobacteriales bacterium. RNAcentral's name for it is "tRNA-Pro". Lineage: Bacteria; Pseudomonadati; Bacteroidota; Flavobacteriia; Flavobacteriales. The record is from RNAcentral.